GCCCGGCUAGCUUAAUCGGUAGAGCGUGAGACUCUUAUGAAAAUAAUUCAGAUCUCACGAGAUCAUCUCAUGGGGUUCGACCCCCACGUCGGGCU
This is a non-coding RNA of Immersiella caudata, 95 nucleotides long. Lineage: Eukaryota; Fungi; Ascomycota; Sordariomycetes; Sordariales; Lasiosphaeriaceae. The record is from the annotation of a GenBank genome assembly.